Pogona vitticeps (central bearded dragon) is the source of this 1393-nucleotide long non-coding RNA. RefSeq lists it as uncharacterized. The record is from RefSeq and is a predicted model, not a curated record. Lineage: Eukaryota; Metazoa; Chordata; Lepidosauria; Squamata; Agamidae.
UUACAGGUUCUACCAUUAGGCUUGCGAGAACAGUAGUGAACUAAACUUCCCAGUGAGAGGUCUUCACACCAGGGAAGUGUGACUUUCCUGCCGCAGCCCUGCCUCGUCACUCAUUAGGACGCCGCAGGUUGUCAGCACCUUCUUCCUCUUCGGCGCGCACACGGGUGUGCACGUUCGCGCGCUCGCGCGCGCGCCCCGAGCCCCAACCCUGAAACUAAAUUAAGAAGCACAUGAUUAAGAGACAAGCGUCUACGGGGCCUGUCAUUUCAGCAUCCUUCCAUCAUAACAUUGUGGCACGGGGAAAUUUGCUUGAAAACCUUUGGAAAAAAAAAUCGAUGGAGGAGCGUGCAUAGCGAGCGAGCGAGCGAGCGAGCGAUUGCGUUUAGAGUCGGAGAACUGCUUGCUCCGGAUUGUCUUCUGAAGAGGAGAGAGAAGAGAGGUUGGCAAGAUCCCAGGGGCUCCCAGAGACUUCUUGGAAACUCCUGUACAGAUCUCUGGGUGAUCUUCAAGCAGGCCUUCCACUUCGUUUGUGGUCUGUGUUUCUCCGCAUCCCCGCCAGUUCUUAAAGGGUUAACUGCUCCGGCGCAAAAUCGGAGGGGCCUCUGGCUCUCUAUUUUGGAAGAAGACUGGAAAAGAGGGGCAGGGGUCCACCCGCCUUCGAGACCUUUUACGAUCCCAGCGGGUUGACUCGGAACAUAUUUCUAUUCACACCAUGUGCGACAGAAGGUCUCCCUUAUGUGCCUGGAGUGUUUUACGCCGGUAAAUGGAAAUCACAAAAGAGAAAGUUGAACACCCUCUAUGGGAAGAAGCAGCUAUCAGAAGGCAAUAGAGCUAAGAAAAAGGAGAAAUCUCCUGGUUUAAAAGAAAUGAAAAGUAAAGAAGGCAAGAAGAAAGGAAGGAAUGAAAAUGAAAAAGAAAACGUUUAAACCUACAAUUCUGUGUAAAUACUUACAGUAUUUGGCCCCUCUAAAUAAAGCAGAACUUAUUUCGAAGUAAAUAUGAGUGGAAAGUUCAAAACCGUCUCUAACCAAGCCAGAAAAGAAGUUUUGAAAGAUUUCUAUUAAAUCUCGGGGUUUAAAACGUGGAGCUAUUAGACUAUAAUACUGUAGUAGUUGUUGCUGUUUGCGUGAUGAUGAUGUAAUCGCGCCCAUAAUUUUUUUGCCUUGAUUCUUAGUUUUUAGGCUUGACCCUUUCGUCCACCGCCCAAGCACCAGAAAUACUGAGAAAUAAUAAUAAGUAUUACUUUAUUUGACUAACCAAAAAGACAUAAAAAGUUGUACAGAUUUUUUGCCAUGUUUGUUAGUCUAAUAAAAGUAUUGUUCCGGUAUGUAUUUUGGAGCGCAUUUUGUGACCAACACGGCUACCUUUACUGUUAUUAAUAAAAAUUGUCAGA